CAUCAUCCACCCUUGGGUCGCCCGGAGUUGAUCGGAAAGUCAUGAUUUCCGACGGAUGUUCACCCGAGUUCACCCGAUCUUCCAGCUCGAAUUUCUCCUUCGUUUCUCCACCAAAUCAAUCGAGUAAGGCACCAGAGGUUCAGUCGACCUGCAGGAGGGACCUUCGAGGGGUCCAAUUAGCUCGGACCAUCAGCCGUAGAAGUGCGUAGGAUCCACCACCGGGCCAUCCCUAGCUUCCGCGCCACCAAGUGAGGUAGAGUUUUGUGGAAAAGUUCUUGAAACUCUGUGAACUUUAGAAAAUGCUCUGAUAUAUAGUUUUAAUGGAAAACUGGAGUUGGUGAAUACUUGGUUAUUCUAUUAUGGCAGUUGGUGUGGAUUUUUUGAUUGUUUAACAGGUGGAAAAAUUUGGG
Long non-coding RNA from Prunus persica (peach), 410 nucleotides. RefSeq lists it as uncharacterized. NCBI's taxonomy places the organism in Eukaryota, Viridiplantae, Streptophyta, Magnoliopsida, Rosales, Rosaceae. The record is from RefSeq and is a predicted model, not a curated record. The transcript has 3 exons.